GGAAAUAUUUUGCUAAUAAUUAAUGCCAAUCAAGAAUUACCAAUUUACAAGAGCGAAAACAGAAAUGCAGACACCAAUCUUCCGCUGAAUCCUUUUGUAAUCCAUGGAUUGCCAUAAUUCAUUUGCCAAAGCUGGUUGUUUUAAAGAAUCUCAAACUGUAUAACUCACUCUAGCUAUAUAUAAAAACAUGCUCCGCCAAGCUAACAAAUAAUUAGUCAAAGAAAUGGAAUCCAUAAACAAAUUCAAAUUACAAAUGUGUAUCUUUUCAAAAUCUAGUAUCAGCCUUCAACAAUUGCCUUCUCUUAAUUAUCAGAAACGCCACCACACAGACUUGCAAGAUCGCCGCAAUGCCCACAAACAUUAACCCAAGUCUCUUCCCCCAAUUUAACGUCUUUUCUUUUGAUGGUGGUGGUGGCGGGCUUUUAACGUCAGAUUUAUGGUGGUUUUUGUGUUGGUGGUGAUGUGGAGGAGGAGCUCUUUGGGUAGGCGGAGGAGGUGGAGGAGGAGCCGAUGGUGGAGGCGGCGGGGGAGGUGAUAAAGGGGGAGGUGGAGGGGGAGGAGGCACAGGUGAUGGUGGAGGUGGCGGCGACGGUGGAGGUGGUGGCGGAGGAGAAUAUGGUGGCGGCGGCGGUGAUUGUGAAUUGGGAGGAUUUACAUUUCCCUGAGAUUGCACCGAAAUAGCAAAGAAACAGAAGAAGACCCAAAUCGACAAUGUCCGAUCCAUACAUUACAUGGGGAAAAAUCAAAUCUUCAACAAAAUUUAAGUCCUCCCAAGCUUCCUUCCAUUUGGGCCGGACCCAAAUCCCCCAAUUAUUUUCCCCAAAUUCGAAUCUAGGGUUUGGAAAAUCGAAAGACCUUAAAACCUUUGCUCCCCAGGUAAUUUGUUUUCCCUGAUCUUGAAGAAACAGCUAAAAUGUUCCAAAAGAGUAACCUCGAAAUGUUGAUAUUGAAGAAUUAGGAAAAGGGUAGAUUGGGAAGAUUUAUUUUUUCUUCAGAGAUCCAUAAAUGGGAUAAUCAAAUGCUGCUUAUUUUUGUUGUUGAUGAGAAUUUUGUUCUUCCCAUAAAAUGGUCGUGAUCCCCCGUUUCUUUCAGAAAUGGCGAAGAUGCAGAAAUGGGGGGCCAACGAAGGAAAGAGAGAGAAGUGGGAAGCGUAGGUGGGAUUCAACGGUUGGUCUAAUUUGGGAAAUCAAUUCAC
RNAcentral lists this long non-coding RNA (1195 nucleotides) under Nicotiana tabacum (common tobacco). Its description in RNAcentral is "long non-coding RNA (NTAB_LNC011925)". Lineage: Eukaryota; Viridiplantae; Streptophyta; Magnoliopsida; Solanales; Solanaceae. The record is from RNAcentral.